This is a long non-coding RNA of Tupaia belangeri chinensis (Chinese tree shrew), 414 nucleotides long. RefSeq lists it as uncharacterized. NCBI's taxonomy places the organism in Eukaryota, Metazoa, Chordata, Mammalia, Scandentia, Tupaiidae. The transcript has 3 exons. The record is from RefSeq and is a predicted model, not a curated record.
AUACGGUUCUCAAAGUUCUUCUAUAUUUUGGCAUGUGAGAGUAUUUCCUUAUGUGGAUGAAUAACAUUCCUAUUGUAUGCAUAUUCCCAGUUGCUUUGUUCAAUUUUUGGGCACUUAGGUUUCACUUACCUUUUGGCUAUUGUGAACAAUGGUGCAAUGAAUGAGUAUGUAAAUGUUUCUGAGAUCCUUUUAAUUUUCCCACUCCCCCAAACCUUGACUGAAUGUCUCAGCUUGACUUACUCUGUUUGCAGUGAUGAUGAUGAUGAUUUUGAAGAUGAGGAAACAGAAGAAAAGGCUCCAGUGAAGAAAUCUAUACGAGAUACUCCUGGCAAAAAUGCUCAAAAAUCAAACCAGAACGGAAAAGACUCAAAACCAUCAACACCAAGAUCAAAAGGUCAAGAAUCAUUCAAAAAA